AAAGUGCGAUACGUAGUGCGACCUGCACGAACCUGCGAGUCACCAAGUCUUUGAACGCAUCUUGCGCUCCCCGGAGCAUGUUCCCUUGAGCCGGGCAAAUCAACAUUGAUAUCUAUCAAUGCGCUGGGGCACGAGCGCGUCUCUGCCCUGAAAAGUGUGCCCGUCGGCAGUCUGAGCCAGGCGACCGGUGGUAGGUGUGUCUGUGAUUUCGAUCGCAAGCACAUUUGCCCCCGACAUCCAACCCAGACUAACGACUUAUCCACCCGCUCAAGUGGAGCAGGACCACCCGCUGGACUUAA
Molecule: unclassified non-coding RNA, 299 nt
Filed under: uncultured fungus
Lineage: Eukaryota; Fungi
Description: sequence contains ITS1
Rfam family: 5.8S ribosomal RNA (bases 1-95)
Source: RNAcentral